GACCGUGUAGCUCAGUUGGAAGAGCAUUGGGCUAGUAUUCCAUAGGUCGUAGGUUCGAAUCCCACCGUGGCCG
Paramuricea clavata is the source of this 73-nucleotide non-coding RNA. Lineage: Eukaryota; Metazoa; Cnidaria; Anthozoa; Malacalcyonacea; Plexauridae. The record is from the annotation of a GenBank genome assembly.